This 852-nucleotide long non-coding RNA is filed under the name Rattus norvegicus (Norway rat). RNAcentral's name for it is "long non-coding RNA NONRATT013927". The record is from RNAcentral. Lineage: Eukaryota; Metazoa; Chordata; Mammalia; Rodentia; Muridae.
ACACAAUGUCAUCUGGGAUGGCUGAACAUCUACCCCCCCAGCACAUCAGCACUUCAGAUGCUUUUGCCAUCUCUUGGAUGCCCUGGUGAAGCCAACAACUGUGAGUACUAUUCAUUGCUCAGGAUAUCAGGAGGGAAGAGAUUCAGUGGCAUGGGGCAAUAACGAAGCAGAUCAAGUGGCUCGAAAAAUGGCUAUGCAGGAGCCUAUCCUGGUUGCAGGCCUGCAAGAGACAGCCACUGAGAACUAGGAUCGGACUAAGGGAUGGCCUCACUUAGAAAAGGCCCAAAUUGCUUAAAAGAUAAAGGACAAUGGCACACUUGAGGGGAAAGCUAUACUCCCCAGAGAAUAAAGGAAAGACUCACUUUGCCAAAUACAGAAAUGGACUCAUUUAGGAGAUAAGAAGUUUGUCCAAGUAGUUAAGGUGUGUGUAAUAGACUUUAAGAUUUUAGCCAGAGAGACAGUAGAAAGUAUAAGGUAUGUCAAUAAGUGAAUGCUUAGCAAGCAAACAGGGCAAAGAGACCUAGAGAGUUUAGUGAAAAGUCGAAGUGAACUUCACUGAGAUAAAACCAGAAAAAUAUAAUCACAAGUAUCUCCUAGUGCAUGUAGAUACUUUUUCAGGAAGAUAGAAGCUUUCCUCACCAAAUGAGAGAUGGCCUCUGCAGUCAUCAAGAAGAUACUGGAAGAAAUCUUCCCCCGAUUUGGAAUGCCCAAGGUAAUCUGGUCAGACAAAGGCCCUACUUUCGUUGCCAAGGUAAGCCAGGGUGUGGCCAAGUAUUUAGAGGUCAAUUGGAAAUUACAUUGUAUCUACAGACCUCAAAGUUCAGGACAGGUAGAGUAAAUAAAUAAAAUUUU